UUUAGCCAUAUUUUUUUUAAAGCAAUCAGCCAUACUUUUGUUAAAUCAAUCACAUGCAAAUCAAUAUUUUACAACAAUCAAUCCACUUGGAAAUUUCCUCACAAGCUCUUCUUCAUCCCUGAAGUGCGCAGCAACCAUAGUGAUUCCAUCAAACAAGCAAAUUCAGAAUCAGGCAGCAACCAUUUCACAUCCUAAAUACCUAAAGGCUUUGAGCAACAGGAGGAUUAGCACUGCUAUUCCGAUUCAGAGAUAAGGUUAAACGACAGGCUUUGCCUAGACAGGUUAAUGGCGGGUGAUGACGGGGCAGAGCUGAGGCUAGAGUUCAACUCCUUAUUUUGAUUUCCGCUGCAGAACUAGCCAGUAUCUGUCUUUUGUUUCUUAACUUAAGACCUAUCAUGUUGUGAUUCUAAACAAUAUCUUUUGUUGAGCCUAAACUAUUGACUCUCAAAGUAUUUCAAUCAGUGAAUGUUGGUUAUCUGAAGCAUGACACUAAACUUGUGAUCC
Long non-coding RNA from Salvia miltiorrhiza (redroot sage), 504 nucleotides. RefSeq lists it as uncharacterized. Lineage: Eukaryota; Viridiplantae; Streptophyta; Magnoliopsida; Lamiales; Lamiaceae. The record is from RefSeq and is a predicted model, not a curated record. The transcript has 4 exons.